AAAAGGAAAGCUCCCUCCCUCAUCAUCAAACUCGACUUCAGGAAAGCUUUUGACUAUGUUUGUUGGACGACCCUCCUCCAUACCCUUCAGGUUAGAGAUUUCCCCCCUCGUUGGUGCGACUGGAUUCACUCUCUCCUAAACACUAGAUCCACUGUCGUUGUGCUAAAUGGCAUCCAUGGGAGGUGGAUUCAGUGUAAAAAUGGCCUCCGGUAGGGCAACCCUCUCUCCCCUUACCUUUUCAUUAUUGUCGCGGAUACCCUCCAACAAUUGAUCAUCAAAGCCAACCAUGAAGGUAAGUUGUUGCACCCCGUAAGUCCUCACCUUCCCUGCCCCGUCCUUCAAUAUGCCGACGACACGCUUAUCAUAGUUAAAGCUACGCCUGGGGCCGCCAAACACCUCAAGAGUAUUUUAGACAACUUCGCCGUGGCCACUGGUCUCCAGAUCAAUUUUGAUUAG
This 456-nucleotide ribosomal RNA is filed under the name Triticum aestivum (bread wheat). RNAcentral's name for it is "partial small subunit ribosomal RNA". The record is from RNAcentral. Lineage: Eukaryota; Viridiplantae; Streptophyta; Magnoliopsida; Poales; Poaceae.